Molecule: small nuclear RNA, 132 nt
Organism: Heterocephalus glaber (naked mole-rat)
Lineage: Eukaryota; Metazoa; Chordata; Mammalia; Rodentia; Bathyergidae
Gene: U2
Rfam family: U2 spliceosomal RNA
About the family: U2 is a small nuclear RNA (snRNA) component of the spliceosome (involved in pre-mRNA splicing). Complementary binding between U2 snRNA (in an area lying towards the 5' end but 3' to hairpin I) and the branchpoint sequence (BPS) of the intron results the bulging out of an unpaired adenosine, on the BPS, which initiates a nucleophilic attack at the intronic 5' splice site, thus starting the first of two transesterification reactions that mediate splicing.
Source: Ensembl
AUCACUUCUCGGCCUUUUGGCUAAGAUCAAGUGUAAAAUUACAAUUAUGAUUAUUGAACUCCAAAGGAUUUACAGAAUGCUUUUUUUAAGUUGGUCAUAAGAGUUCUACCUUAGUUACUCAGCUUAUUGCUG